This 648-nucleotide ribosomal RNA is filed under the name Arthrobacter sp. LMR305. Its description in RNAcentral is "bacterial SSU rRNA". It matches the Rfam family "Bacterial small subunit ribosomal RNA", at positions 191 to 850 of the family's 1533-position model. The record is from RNAcentral. Lineage: Bacteria; Bacillati; Actinomycetota; Actinomycetes; Micrococcales; Micrococcaceae.
GGUGGGGGGUGGAAAGCUUUAUUGUGGUUUUGGAUGGACUCGCGGCCUAUCAGCUUGUUGGUGAGGUAAUGGCUUACCAAGGCGACGACGGGUAGCCGGCCUGAGAGGGUGACCGGCCACACUGGGACUGAGACACGGCCCAGACUCCUACGGGAGGCAGCAGUGGGGAAUAUUGCACAAUGGGCGCAAGCCUGAUGCAGCGACGCCGCGUGAGGGAUGACGGCCUUCGGGUUGUAAACCUCUUUCAGUAGGGAAGAAGCGAAAGUGACGGUACCUGCAGAAGAAGCGCCGGCUAACUACGUGCCAGCAGCCGCGGUAAUACGUAGGGCGCAAGCGUUAUCCGGAAUUAUUGGGCGUAAAGAGCUCGUAGGCGGUUUGUCGCGUCUGCCGUGAAAGUCCGGGGCUCAACUCCGGAUCUGCGGUGGGUACGGGCAGACUAGAGUGAUGUAGGGGAGACUGGAAUUCCUGGUGUAGCGGUGAAAUGCGCAGAUAUCAGGAGGAACACCGAUGGCGAAGGCAGGUCUCUGGGCAUUAACUGACGCUGAGGAGCGAAAGCAUGGGGAGCGAACAGGAUUAGAUACCCUGGUAGUCCAUGCCGUAAACGUUGGGCACUAGGUGUGGGGGACAUUCCACGUUUUCCGCGCCGUA